GGUUUCGUAGCUCAGCUGGUAGGGCGUGCGCACACCAAGUGUGGGCGGCGUCCAUGCGUGGGUUCGAAUCCCACCAAGGCUA
Molecule: transfer RNA, 82 nt
Filed under: Echinostoma caproni
Lineage: Eukaryota; Metazoa; Platyhelminthes; Trematoda; Plagiorchiida; Echinostomatidae
Rfam family: tRNA
About the family: Transfer RNA (tRNA) molecules are approximately 80 nucleotides in length. Their secondary structure includes four short double-helical elements and three loops (D, anti-codon, and T loops). Further hydrogen bonds mediate the characteristic L-shaped molecular structure. tRNAs have two regions of fundamental functional importance: the anti-codon, which is responsible for specific mRNA codon recognition, and the 3' end, to which the tRNAs corresponding amino acid is attached (by aminoacyl-tRNA synthetases). tRNAs cope with the degeneracy of the genetic code in two manners: having more than one tRNA (with a specific anti-codon) for a particular amino acid; and 'wobble' base-pairing, i.e. permitting non-standard base-pairing at the 3rd anti-codon position.
Source: Rfam by way of RNAcentral